This 277-nucleotide ribosomal RNA is filed under the name uncultured prokaryote. RNAcentral describes it as "partial 16S ribosomal RNA". It matches the Rfam family "Bacterial small subunit ribosomal RNA", at positions 524 to 800 of the family's 1533-position model. The record is from RNAcentral.
CACGGGGGUUGCGAGCGUUGUCCGGAAUUACUAGGCGUAAAGGGCAGGCAGGCGGAUCCAUAAGUUUAUCGUUUAAGGCGUCGGCUUAACCGGCGUAGGGCGGUAGAUGCUGUGGAUCUGGAAUGCGGUUGGGGAAGACAGAAUUCCUGGUGUAGCGGUGGAAUGCGCAGAAAUCAGGAGGAAUACCGAAGGCGAAGGCAGUCUUCCAAGCCGUUAUUGACGCUCAACUGCGAAGGUGUGGGUAUCAAACAGGAUUAGAUACCCUGGUAGUCCCUGA